Molecule: long non-coding RNA, 777 nt
Filed under: Monodelphis domestica (gray short-tailed opossum)
Lineage: Eukaryota; Metazoa; Chordata; Mammalia; Didelphimorphia; Didelphidae
Description: lncRNA (ENSMODG00000047737.1)
Source: RNAcentral
AUUAACUGUCAGGGAGGAUGACCUGUGACCUGUGUGUGCUGGCAAGUGACAAAUCAGAAACAAAUGACUGACCCCCUGGGCUGUCCUAAGCCAAGUUUAAGUCACCAUUGGUACAUGUGAGACACAGGAAGUGAUGUAAAGAAUGGCCUUUAUAUUUCUCGUGACUUCCGGUGAGGGGGGCUUUUGCAGCUUUUGCGGACUUUGGCGGUGAAAUUUGACUUGAAGGAGCUUUGAAGUGUGGGUUCUGAGAUGGCUUCCCUGAGUGGCCAUGUGGCCUGGAACUCUAUCUACUGUGCCACCUAGUUAUGGGAAUAGAGGCAUAUUUUUGUGGACAACUGAGAGUGCCGAAGAUUGGAGAGCUGAGAGUUAUUGAAAAGUCCCUUAAAAUAAUUCCUACUGCCAGAGUCAUCAUCAUCAUUAUUGACUGUGCUUUAAGAAAAAAGAAGAGAAGAAAAAUAAAGCAUUUCAACAAAAAUUAUCAAUGCAUUGAUUCUGACAGUAUUUGCAAUAUUUCAAGCCCAAUUCUUUUCCAAUAAAGGGAACAACAUGAAUUUUAUCAUCCUUUCUUCAGAGACUAUUAUAAUUACAUAAUACUCAAUUUCAGGUUCUUGUUGUUGUUUCCAUUUGCUCUUUUGUAACACUUGUUUAUAUAGUUUUCUUGACUAUUGACUUCACUCUUGAUCAGUUCAUAUUAUUUUUCUUAUGCCUCUCUAAAUUCUUUAUAUUUAUCACUUUUCAUAGUAUAAUAAAAUCCAAGAAUAGGUUGCUUGUUCUUCA